AACGCAUCUUGCGCCCUUUGGUAUUCCGAAGGGCAUGCCUGUUUGAGUGUCAUGAAAACCUCAUCCCAUCGGGUUUCCGAUGAUGAUGGAUUUGGGUGUUGCCUUCAGGCUCGCCUCAAAAGCAUUAGUGAUUCCGAGGUCGAAUCUGGCGUAAUAAGUUUCGCUGGCCAAGACUGAGAGGAUCGCUCGUAACCCGUCGUCUGACAUCUUUUUGCUCUGACCUCAAAUCAGGUAGGACUACCCGCUGAACUUAA
This 254-nucleotide unclassified non-coding RNA is filed under the name Trechispora sp. RNAcentral's name for it is "partial contains 5.8S ribosomal RNA, internal transcribed spacer 2, and large subunit ribosomal RNA". The stretch from base 1 to 52 matches the Rfam family "5.8S ribosomal RNA", at positions 103 to 154 of the family's 154-position model. Lineage: Eukaryota; Fungi; Basidiomycota; Agaricomycetes; Trechisporales; Hydnodontaceae. The record is from RNAcentral.